Molecule: ribosomal RNA, 226 nt
Filed under: uncultured bacterium
Lineage: Bacteria
Description: partial 16S ribosomal RNA
Rfam family: Bacterial small subunit ribosomal RNA
Source: RNAcentral
GCGUUAUCCGGAUUUACUGGGCGUAAAGCGCGUUAAGGCGGCUCGCUAAGUUGGUGGUGAAAUUUCAGGGCUCAACCCUGAAACUGCCUUCAAUACUGGCGAGCUUGAGUGCGAGAGAGGAAGGUGGAAUUCCCGGUGUAGUAGUGAAAUGCGUAGAUAUCGGGAGGAACACCAGUGGCGAAGGCGGCCUUCUGGCUCGCAACUGACGCUGUAGCGCGAAAGCGUG